GGCGGAUCCCCAGAGCCCAGGGCCGGUCAGGAGCUGGAUAGGCUGGGCUUGGCGGUGGAAGCACCAGUGGCAGAAUAUUAACUACCAACUCCUGGACAAGAGGAAGAGCCAUCUGGUUCCCCUGCGCCCGUAGCAUCCUGCAGCCCGGAAGGAAGUCCUUCGUCCUGUCUAACCACAGUCCCUGCUGAGCCAACGCCAGGCCUUUCCUCUCAUUCUGCCUUGUGGGCAGAGGGCAGGAGAUGAGCUGGCCCUGCAGCAGCAACCUAGACAGAGAUCCCAGUGAGGACCUGAUGAAAUGGGGGUGACAACCCUCUGGCAGCCCCAGGGAGGUGAACCUCUGAAGCACAGAGAUAAUCACUCCUCCUAGAGGCUUCUGCCACAUCCGUUAUCUCAUUUAAUCCUGUAAUAUCCCAUCUUACAGAGAGAAAGUCAGGCAGGUCCAGGGAGGAAAAUGUGGCAGAACUGGGACCAGAACCCAGGUCUCUUGAUAAAAGAGAAAUAAUCACAACAACUAAUAUUUGUUGCACAUUUACUCUCUGCCAGGUACUGAGCUAAAACUGCAUACAUUUUCUUUUUUAAGCCUCAUCACAACCCUGUAUGUUGGGUAUCCUCAUUCCUAUCAUCCUCAGAUAAGGAGAGUGAGGCUCAGAGCCAUUAAAUGACUUGCCCAAGGACACCCAGCUUGUUGGUGGCAGAGCUGUGUGUGAGCCAGGCAGUCUGGCGUGCUCAGCUCCACACCCAGGGCCCCGGGGUUCCAGAGGAGUGUCAUGGAUGUCUGUUUUCCAGAAUGUGAGGAAACAGGCUCCAGGUUCAUCACAUGGUGGUCCCAAGGCCGACUUGUGCAAGCCAGGAUGACAGGAGGACGGCCUGGGAGCACUGCUCGAUCCCAUAGCCCUUCCCUGUGGCUGAAGAUGAUCCAUCUUCGCCCUGUCUCCUGAGGUCUCCGUGUUUCUGCCCUUCACGGCCCAAAUAAAGCAGCUUUUGCCUCUCUCUGGCCCUCUCCACUUUGCAGGGUGAUGAUCUCAGUUCCUUCCAUUCGCAUACACUGUUAGAC
This 1054-nucleotide long non-coding RNA is filed under the name Equus caballus (horse). RNAcentral describes it as "lncRNA (ENSECAG00000055986.1)". Lineage: Eukaryota; Metazoa; Chordata; Mammalia; Perissodactyla; Equidae. The record is from RNAcentral.